RNAcentral lists this ribosomal RNA (1202 nucleotides) under uncultured bacterium. RNAcentral describes it as "bacterial SSU rRNA". It matches the Rfam family "Bacterial small subunit ribosomal RNA", at positions 262 to 1474 of the family's 1533-position model. The record is from RNAcentral.
GGCUCACCAAGGUGACGAUCAGUAGCCGACCUGAGAGGGUGAUCGGCCACAUUGGAACUGAGACACGGUCCAAACUUCUACGGAAGGCAGCAGUAAGGAAUCUUGCACAAUGGGGGAAACCCUGAUGCAGCAACGCCGCGUGAACGAUGAAGGCCUUCGGGUUGUAAAGUUCUGAUCUUAGGGAAGAAGAAAGUGACGGUACCUAAGGAGAAAGCCCCGGCUAACUACGUGCCAGCAGCCGCGGUAAUACGUAGGGGGCAAGCGUUAUCCGGAAUUAUUGGGCGUAAAGCGUGCGUAGGUGGUUACCUAAGCGCAAGGUUUAAUCUUGAGGCUCAACCUCAUUCUGCCUUGCGAACUGGGCUACUUGAGUGCAGGAGGGGAAAGCGGAAUUCCUAGUGUAGCGGUGAAAUGCGUAGAUAUUAGGAAGAACACCGGUGGCGAAGGCGGCUUUCUGGACUGUAACUGACACUGAGGCACGAAAGCGUGGGGAGCAAACAGGAUUAGAUACCCUGGUAGUCCACGCCGUAAACGAUGAGCACUAGUUGUUGGGUCCGAUAGGAUUCAGUGACUGCAGUUUAACGCAAUAAGUGCUCCGCCUGUGGGAGUACGUUCUGCAAGAAUAAAACUCAAAGGAAUUGACGGGGACCCGCACAAGCAGCGGAGCAUGUGGUUUAAUUCGAAGCAACGCGUAAAAACCCUUACCAGGGCUUGACAUCCCUCUGAGCAGGAGCUUAACCGCUCGCCUCCUUCGGGCAGAGRYGACAGGUGGUGCAUGGUUGUCGUCAGCUCGUGUCGUGAGAUGUUGGGUUAAGUCCCGCAACGAGCGCAACCCUUGUCGUCAGUUACUAACAUUCAGUUGAGGACUCUGGCGAGACUGCCGAGGUCAACUCGGAGGAAGGUGGGGAUGACGUCAAAUCAUCAUGCCCCUUAUGUUCUGGGCUACACACGUGCUACAAUGGUCGGUACAAUGAGAAGCAAUACCGCGAGGUGGAGCAAAUCACCAAAACCGAUCCCAGUUCGGGAAUUUUGCAGGCUGCAAACUCGCCUGCAUGAAGUCGGAGUUGCUAGUAAUCGCGAAUCAGCAUGUCGCGGUGAAUGCGUUCCCGGGUCUUUUGGGUACACACCCGCCCGUCACACCAUGGAAGUUGGGGGUGCCCCAAAAGUUGGCAAAUUAAUCAUGUUACUGAAGGCAACCUGAUCGG